Chiloscyllium plagiosum (whitespotted bambooshark) is the source of this 562-nucleotide long non-coding RNA. RefSeq lists it as uncharacterized. NCBI's taxonomy places the organism in Eukaryota, Metazoa, Chordata, Chondrichthyes, Orectolobiformes, Hemiscylliidae. The record is from RefSeq and is a predicted model, not a curated record.
UCUCAUCAUGGGAUAAACAAGCUGACUGCACUCCUUUUCACCUUGAUACAACACACUUUCAUUUACUCUGCAUAAUAGGUAUUCACUAAGACAUCUAUCUCCACAGGAGAACCAUUUUUAGGUAAAACAUAGACCAAAUAUGCAUCACCAAGUCACCAUGGCAACAAAUGCGGGCUGGAAGUAUGGAGCAGAGAGGCCUAGAGGCCCGAACAAAGUGGAGAUGACCAGUGGGCCCUGAGUGGAGUGGGGAUGGGCUGUGACUUGGAGGCCUGAGCAAUGAGGGACAGUUGUUGGACUGGAGACCAGUGCAGGCCUGCAAGCUGAGGCAGACCAUGUGUGGAAGCCCCUCACCCUGAUCUACUGAAAGACUAUAAUGCUUAUCUUUUUAACUUUAUUCUAAUUUUUCUAAUUUGUAUGAUGAACAACUGUAAAUAAUGUAACUUUUGUUCCUUUCGUUUCCCUUUAUUUCUGUACUUUAUAUCUAAAAUAGGUACUUUGUACCUAAGAUGGCAGCCUAUGGGGCGACAUUGUAAACUUUUCAUUGUAUUCCUGUACUUCUGUA